UGAAGAAGGCCUUCGGGUUGUAAAGUACUUUCAGCAGUGAGGAAGGAGGUAUCGUUAAUAGCGGUAUCUUUUGACGUUAGCUGCAGAAGAAGCACCGGCUAACUCCGUGCCAGCAGCCGCGGUAAUACGGAGGGUGCGAGCGUUAAUCGGAAUUACUGGGCGUAAAGCGCAUGCAGGUGGUUUGUUAAGUCAGAUGUGAAAGCCCGGGGCUCAACCUCGGAAUUGCAUUUGAAACUGGCAGGCUAGAGUACUGUAGAGGGGGGUAGAAUUUCAGGUGUAGCGGUGAAAUGCGUAGAGAUCUGAAGGAAUACCGGUGGCGAAGGCGGCCCCCUGGACAGAUACUGACACUCAGAUGCGAAAGCGUGGGGAGCAAACAGGAUUAGAUACCCUGGUAGUCCACGCCGUAAACGAUGUCUACUUGGAGGUUGUGGCCUUGAGCCGUGGCUUUCGGAGCUAACGCGUUAAGUAGACCGCCUGGGGAGUACGGUCGCAAGAUUAAAACUCAAAUGAAUUGACGGGGGCCCGCACAAGCGGUGGAGCAUGUGGUUUAAUUCGAUGCAACGCGAAGAACCUUACCUACUCUUGACAUCCAGAGAACUUAGCAGAGAUGCUUUGGUGCCUUCGGGAACUCUGAGACAGGUGCUGCAUGGCGGUCGUCAGCUCGUGUUGUGAAAUGUUGGGUUAAGUCCCGCAACGAGCGCAACCCUUAUCCUUGUUUGCCAGCGAGUAAUGUCGGGAACUCCAGGGAGACUGCCGGUGAUAAACCGGAGGAAGGUGGGGACGACGUCAAGUCAUCAUGGCCCUUACGAGUAGGGCUACACACGUGCUACAAUGGCGCAUACAGAGGGCGGCCAACUUGCGAAAGUGAGCGAAUCCCAAAAAGUGCGUCGUAGUCCGGAUUGGAGUCUGCAACUCGACUCCAUGAAGUCGGAAUCGCUAGUAAUCGUGAAUCAGAAUGUCACGGUGAAUACGUUCCCGGGCCUUGUACACACCGCCCGUCAC
This 1002-nucleotide ribosomal RNA is filed under the name Vibrio sp. RNAcentral's name for it is "bacterial SSU rRNA". It matches the Rfam family "Bacterial small subunit ribosomal RNA", at positions 406 to 1400 of the family's 1533-position model. Lineage: Bacteria; Pseudomonadati; Pseudomonadota; Gammaproteobacteria; Vibrionales; Vibrionaceae. The record is from RNAcentral.